RNAcentral lists this transfer RNA (82 nucleotides) under Pseudomonadota bacterium. RNAcentral describes it as "tRNA-Leu". RNAcentral also lists the same sequence under 4 other names. The record is from RNAcentral. Lineage: Bacteria; Pseudomonadati; Pseudomonadota.
GCGCUGGUGCUGGAACUGGCAGACAGGCAUGGUUGAGGGCCAUGUGCCGCAAGGCGUGGAGGUUCAAGUCCUCUCCAGCGCA